AUGUGUCCCCUUGCUGAAUGGCCAUCCCAUGCUCGCCGCAACUGUGCGCUACUACAGGAUGAAGCUGGUGGACAGAAGAAGAAAGGGCGAGGUGUUCUAAAAGGUUUUAAAGCAUCUAAGAAGCGUUUUGCCAAUGGAUCUGCAAAGCUAAAUAUUACAUUCUCUGGAAAAUUGGGUGGUAUAGUAGGAAUGAACUAUCGUUCGUUCAAGGAUGACGUGGUAGUCAUAAUGAAAAGAAAGUUACCACUCAUUGGAGUGAGGACGUGCUCCACUUACAAGGCAUACAAAACAGAUGCAGCUAGAUUGGCUAAUCUGCCAGAAGAUUUGCAACCAGAAGAGUGGGAAUGGAUGAUUGAGUACUUUGGCACUGAUUCAAAAUUUCAGGAUCGCAGCCAAAAGAACGCCGAUAACCGUAAGAAACAGAAGACAAAACACAUAAUCGGAUCAAAAUCUUACUCGCAAGUUAGUUUUGAGAAGAGAAACUUGGAAACUGGAGAAGAGCCAGAUUGUAUUGCUCUGUGGGAACUCACCCACAAGAACGAUGGAACAUGGUCUAACACAGAUUCCCAGAAAGUUUACGACAAAGCACUUCAAGAGGUUAAAAUCAAAGAAACUGAAAUUGAAGGUCCACUUUCAAGUGAGCAGAAAAUCAAUAUUUUCCAGACCGCUUACAAAGACACUCUGGAAUGCAAGUCAUCGCUGCCUCGUGGGUACGGAUACAUGGCCAAAACUUCAACUGGUUCUGAAAGGUUUCGUAUCCAGAUCGAAGAGCAAGCUCGUGCUACAGCAGCCACCCAGGAGCAAAACUCUCAGCUCAGCCAGCAGGUCAACGAAUUAGAAGAUCAACUACAAGCUGAACAUGCAAACACACAAGAGAGGAUUAACUUGGAGCGUGCUUAG
Molecule: ribosomal RNA, 900 nt
Filed under: Triticum aestivum (bread wheat)
Lineage: Eukaryota; Viridiplantae; Streptophyta; Magnoliopsida; Poales; Poaceae
Description: partial small subunit ribosomal RNA
Source: RNAcentral